CCCCUGUGCACAUGCGAUCCGGCGACGGCGAGACCCUGUGCGCCGCCACCCGCUCCGGCGUGUGGUGGAGUAGCGGUGCUGGGAGGCUACGGGAUCUUAACAUCUUUAACCCUGGUGGCAAAUCCUGUGGCCUGCGCUUUAGAGGCUGGUUGGCUGAAGAAGAAUGGGGUCAACUAUUUCGAAGGAUGCAUGGAUGGAAGUUAUGAAGACGUAUGGAAGAGUUUCAAGUCUUGCAGUGUGAACUAUUGCACCAAGCUCAGUCGUCCUCGUCAAGUUCCAAUCCUUGGAUUAUCAGGAAAAAAAAAGAGAGUUCCAACCCUUGACUUGCCGAUUGAGUUGUAAUCGGAUCUCCAUGGUGAGUUGUGUAGGUUUUGGCUUGCUAUUUUUGGCAAGUUUGGCAAGCGUGAUGACCGGUCCGGUUCCAUUCUGGUCGAUUGUGUAGCUUGGAAUUCUGCAUCUUCUUCUUCUUGUGUCCAAUCGGACUACUACUGCACCAGGCUCUUCCGUUAAAGUUGGAGACCUGACCAGGAAUGCUGGGCACUUGACUAGCCUGUGAUCGGUUUAUUGCGGUCGUAUGUGAAAGAACAAUGCCAAUUGCCAAUGCCAAUCGUGUAAACCGUCAGGAACUGCAUUAUGAAGUCGAGUAUGAGAAAAUGCCAGGAAGGAAUCAGCAAAGCGGCAAUAUUGCCAUUGAGAUGGAGGUUUCUUUAGGUCAGCAUCUCGUAUCUGAGGUUUUGUUCUGAAUGAACUAUGACAGUUAAAUUACUGCCUGUUUCUGCUCUCUUUUACAUUUCAGACUGUUGGAUUUGCUCGUUUCAGCUUUGAGUGCCACAACACCAGGAUGCAGUUUCAGCUUUCAGAA
Panicum virgatum (switchgrass) is the source of this 862-nucleotide long non-coding RNA. RefSeq lists it as uncharacterized. The record is from RefSeq and is a predicted model, not a curated record. Lineage: Eukaryota; Viridiplantae; Streptophyta; Magnoliopsida; Poales; Poaceae. The transcript has 2 exons.